This 255-nucleotide ribosomal RNA is filed under the name Rhizopogon subcaerulescens. Its description in RNAcentral is "partial ribosomal RNA large subunit". It matches the Rfam family "Bacterial large subunit ribosomal RNA", at positions 1730 to 1984 of the family's 2925-position model. The record is from RNAcentral. Lineage: Eukaryota; Fungi; Basidiomycota; Agaricomycetes; Boletales; Rhizopogonaceae.
CCAUUUUUAAGAAAUUAAUAACUCCAUUGAAUUUUAUUAAUCUCUUUUGUGGUGGCACAAAAUCGGAAGCCCCGACUGUUUACUAAAAACACAGCUAUCUGCAACGAUGUAAAUCAUAGUAUAGGUAGUGAGGUUUGCCCGAUGCCAUUAAUAUAAGAGAAGUGAUGGGUAACUGUUAAUUAUCGAAAAUCUGGUUAAUAGCGGUCUUAACUAUGAGGAUCCUAAGGUAGCAAAAUAAAUUGGCCAUUAAAUGUG